GACGGAGGGGGCUAGCGUUGUUCGGAAUUACUGGGCGUGAAGAGUGCGUAGGCGGUUCAGUAAGUUGGAAGCGAAAGCCCGAGGCUUAACCUCGGAACUGAUUUCGAAACUACUAAUCUAGAGUGUGGUAGGGGAUGACGGAAUUCCUAGUGUAGAGGUGAAAUUCUCAGAUAUUAGGAUGAUCACCGGUGGAGAAGGCGGUCGUCUAGGCUACAACUGACGCUGAUGCCCGAAAGCGUGGGG
RNAcentral lists this ribosomal RNA (243 nucleotides) under uncultured bacterium. RNAcentral describes it as "partial 16S ribosomal RNA". It matches the Rfam family "Bacterial small subunit ribosomal RNA", at positions 524 to 766 of the family's 1533-position model. The record is from RNAcentral.